AAGGUACUAGUAAAACAUUACACUGUCUUGUCAAGCCAGAAUUGCGAGUUAGACCCUCGCGUACCUUU
Molecule: transfer RNA, 68 nt
Filed under: Pomadasys kaakan (javelin grunt)
Lineage: Eukaryota; Metazoa; Chordata; Actinopteri; Lutjaniformes; Haemulidae
Description: tRNA-Asp
Rfam family: tRNA
About the family: Transfer RNA (tRNA) molecules are approximately 80 nucleotides in length. Their secondary structure includes four short double-helical elements and three loops (D, anti-codon, and T loops).
Source: RNAcentral